CAAGUGAUUAUCUGAGGGAGCUUGGUUUCAAUAAAAGAAAACUUGAAUGCCUCAGUCUACAGGCAGAGGGAGAGUUAUUUGAGCUUGCCACCAUGAUCAUGGGUACACACCCAUCCGAAUACUCUUUCCCCCAAAAAUUCGAGGACCAGUUUGCCGACUGUGAAAGCGAG
Dreissena polymorpha is the source of this 170-nucleotide long non-coding RNA. RefSeq lists it as uncharacterized. Lineage: Eukaryota; Metazoa; Mollusca; Bivalvia; Myida; Dreissenidae. The transcript has 3 exons. The record is from RefSeq and is a predicted model, not a curated record.